RNAcentral lists this ribosomal RNA (369 nucleotides) under uncultured organism. Its description in RNAcentral is "partial 16S ribosomal RNA". It matches the Rfam family "Bacterial small subunit ribosomal RNA", at positions 527 to 896 of the family's 1533-position model. The record is from RNAcentral.
GUAGGGUGCGAGCGUUAAUCGGAAUUACUGGGCGUAAAGCGUGCGCAGGCGGCUUUGCAAGACAGAUGUGAAAUCCCCGGGCUCAACCUGGGAACUGCAUUUGUGACUGCAAGGCUAGAGUACGGCAGAGGGGGAUGGAAUUCCGCGUGUAGCAGUGAAAUGCGUAGAUAUGCGGAGGAACACCGAUGGCGAAGGCAAUCCCCUGGGCCUGUACUGACGCUCAUGCACGAAAGCGUGGGGAGCAAACAGGAUUAGAUACCUGGUAGUCCCACGCCCUAAACGAUGUCAACUGGUUGUUGGACGGCUUGCUGUUCAGUAACGAAGCUAACGCGUGAAGUUGACCGCCUGGGGAGUACGGCCGCAAGGUUG